RNAcentral lists this unclassified non-coding RNA (263 nucleotides) under Exophiala mesophila. RNAcentral describes it as "partial internal transcribed spacer region". The stretch from base 1 to 46 matches the Rfam family "Eukaryotic small subunit ribosomal RNA", at positions 1786 to 1831 of the family's 1831-position model. Lineage: Eukaryota; Fungi; Ascomycota; Eurotiomycetes; Chaetothyriales; Herpotrichiellaceae. The record is from RNAcentral.
AAGUCGUAACAAGGUUUCCGUAGGUGAACCUGCGGAAGGAUCAUUAACGAGUUAGGGUCUUCUAGGCCCGACCUCCCAACCCUGUGUUUAAUCGACCUCACGUUGCUUCGGCGAGCCCGUCCCUCAAGGACCGCCGGAGGACCAUAACCCGUCCUCUGGUCCGCGCUCGUCGGUGGCCAACCACAAACUCUUUGUUAAACAUAUCAUCUAAGUCAAAAUUUUUAAUUAAAGCAAAACUUUCAACAACGGAUCUCUUGGCUCUC